Molecule: ribosomal RNA, 240 nt
Filed under: uncultured bacterium
Lineage: Bacteria
Description: partial 16S ribosomal RNA
Rfam family: Bacterial small subunit ribosomal RNA
Source: RNAcentral
GAUCCUGGCUCAGGAUGAACGCUGGCGGCGUGCUUAACACAUGCAAGUCGAACGAAGCACUUGAUUUGAUUUUCUUCGGAGAUGAAGAUCUUGUGACUGAGUGGCGGACGGGUGAGUAACGCGUGGGCAACCUGCCUUGUACAGGGGGAUAACAGUUAGAAAUGACUGCUAAUACCGCAUAAGACCACAGCACCACGUGGUGCAGGGGUAAAAACUGAGGUGGUACAAGAUGGGCCCGCG